RNAcentral lists this ribosomal RNA (1401 nucleotides) under Streptomyces piniterrae. Its description in RNAcentral is "Streptomyces sp. jys28 partial 23S ribosomal RNA". It matches the Rfam family "Bacterial large subunit ribosomal RNA", at positions 1553 to 2925 of the family's 2925-position model. Lineage: Bacteria; Bacillati; Actinomycetota; Actinomycetes; Kitasatosporales; Streptomycetaceae. The record is from RNAcentral.
AGUCUGAGACCUGAUGCCGAGCCGAUUGUGGUGAAGUGGAUGAUCCUAUGCUGUCGAGAAAAGCCUCUAGCGAGUUUCAUGGCGGCCCGUACCCUAAACCGACUCAGGUGGUCAGGUAGAGAAUACCGAGGCGUUCGGGUGAACUAUGGUUAAGGAACUCGGCAAAAUGCCCCCGUAACUUCGGGAGAAGGGGGGCCAUUUCCGGUGAUGAGUCUUGCACUCUGAGCUGGGGGUGGCCGCAGAGACCAGCGAGAAGCGACUGUUUACUAAAAACACAGGUCCGUGCGAAGCCGUAAGGCGAUGUAUACGGACUGACGCCUGCCCGGUGCUGGAACGUUAAGGGGACCGGUUAGUCAAUCUUCGGGUUGGCGAAGCUGAGAACUUAAGCGCCAGUAAACGGCGGUGGUAACUAUAACCAUCCUAAGGUAGCGAAAUUCCUUGUCGGGUAAGUUCCGACCUGCACGAAUGGCGUAACGACUUCUCGACUGUCUCAACCAUAGGCCCGGUGAAAUUGCACUACGAGUAAAGAUGCUCGUUUCGCGCAGCAGGACGGAAAGACCCCGGGACCUUUACUAUAGCUUGAUAUUGGUGUUCGGUUCGGCUUGUGUAGGAUAGGUGGGAGACUGUGAAGCGGCCACGCCAGUGGUUGUGGAGUCAUUGUUGAAAUACCACUCUGGUCGUGCUGGAUGUCUAACCUGGGUCCGUGAUCCGGAUCAGGGACAGUGUCUGGUGGGUAGUUUAACUGGGGCGGUUGCCUCCUAAAGGGUAACGGAGGCGCCCAAAGGUUCCCUCAGCCUGGUUGGCAAUCAGGUGUUGAGUGUAAGUGCACAAGGGAGCUUGACUGUGAGACUGACGGGUCGAGCAGGUACGAAAGUAGGGACUAGUGAUCCGGCGGUGGCUUGUGGAAGCGCCGUCGCUCAACGGAUAAAAGGUACCCCGGGGAUAACAGGCUGAUCUUCCCCAAGAGUCCAUAUCGACGGGAUGGUUUGGCACCUCGAUGUCGGCUCGUCGCAUCCUGGGGCUGGAGUCGGUCCCAAGGGUUGGGCUGUUCGCCCAUUAAAGCGGUACGCGAGCUGGGUUUAGAACGUCGUGAGACAGUUCGGUCCCUAUCCGCUGUGCGCGUAGGAGUCUUGAGAAGGGCUGUCCCUAGUACGAGAGGACCGGGACGGACGAACCUCUGGUGUGCCAGUUGUCCUGCCAAGGGCAUGGCUGGUUGGCUACGUUCGGAAAGGAUAACCGCUGAAAGCAUCUAAGCGGGAAGCCUGCUUCGAGAUGAGGACUCCCACCCCCUUUGAGGGGUUAAGGCUCCCAGUAGACGACUGGGUUGAUAGGCCAGAUAUGGAAGCGCCGUAAGGUGUGGAGUUGACUGGUACUAAUAGGCCGAGGGCUUGUCCUCAGUUG